GAUGAAGAACGUAGCGAAAUGCGAUAAGUAGUGUGAAUUGCAGAAUUCAGUGAAUCAUCGAAUCUUUGAACGCACAUUGCGCCCUUUGGUAUUCCAAAGGGCAUGCCUGUUCGAGCGUCAUUUGUACCCUCAAGCUUUGCUUGGUGUUGGGCGUCUUGUCUCUAGCUUUGCUGGAGACUCGCCUUAAAGUAAUUGGCAGCCGGCCUACUGGUUUCGGAGCGCAGCACAAGUCGCACUCUCUAUCAGCAAAGGUCUAGCAUCCAUUAAGCCUUUUUUUCAACUUUUGACCUCGGAUCAUGUAGGGAUACCCGCUGAACUUAAGCAUAUCAAUAAGCGGAGGA
This 341-nucleotide unclassified non-coding RNA is filed under the name soil metagenome. RNAcentral's name for it is "partial contains 5.8S ribosomal RNA, internal transcribed spacer 2, and large subunit ribosomal RNA". The stretch from base 1 to 120 matches the Rfam family "5.8S ribosomal RNA", at positions 35 to 154 of the family's 154-position model. The record is from RNAcentral.